This 253-nucleotide ribosomal RNA is filed under the name uncultured bacterium. Its description in RNAcentral is "partial 16S ribosomal RNA". It matches the Rfam family "Bacterial small subunit ribosomal RNA", at positions 524 to 776 of the family's 1533-position model. The record is from RNAcentral.
UACGUAGGGAGCAAGCGUUGUCCGGAAUCAUUGGGCGUAAAGCGCGCGUAGGUGGUCCCGUAAGUCCGCUGUGAAAGUCAAAGGCUCAACCUUUGAAAGCCGGUGGAUACUGUGGGACUAGAGUACGGAAGAGGCGAGUGGAAUUCCUGGUGUAGCGGUGGAAUGCGCAGAUAUCAGGAGGAACACCAAUAGCGAAGGCAGCUCGCUGGGACGUUACUGACACUGAGGCGCGAAAGCGUGGGGAGCAAACAGG